Homarus americanus (American lobster) is the source of this 349-nucleotide long non-coding RNA. RefSeq lists it as uncharacterized. NCBI's taxonomy places the organism in Eukaryota, Metazoa, Arthropoda, Malacostraca, Decapoda, Nephropidae. The record is from RefSeq and is a predicted model, not a curated record. The transcript has 3 exons.
GUUUACUCAGUUGCCAUGACAACCUAGCCGGACACACGGGAUUUGAGAUAGACAAAGGCAGCUAAGAUGGGGGUGGACAAGGUAGCCCUCUCCUCUUCCAAGUCCUGGGAUCUACCCCUUGCUGCCAUUUUCUGCAUCGCCAUUGCUGCAUAUGUUAUUCUUGUUAUUAUCGGAUUGAGUAUAAGGCAGUGUUUGUUGAGGAAAGGUGUGUGUGGAGGAGGAUGUCCCUAUGCACUAUGUUGUAACUGUUCUCAACUUGGUCUACACUGUGCUCAAGUCUGUUGCAACUGUGGCCCAAAACCCUCGUGUACUUCUCUGCUUGACUACUGCUGUCCCACAGAUCAGGUAU